This 23-nucleotide small nuclear RNA is filed under the name Arabidopsis thaliana (thale cress). Its description in RNAcentral is "snRNA_05332". The record is from RNAcentral. Lineage: Eukaryota; Viridiplantae; Streptophyta; Magnoliopsida; Brassicales; Brassicaceae.
CGAGAAGUACCGCAUCAUGCCAG